Molecule: ribosomal RNA, 369 nt
Filed under: uncultured Glomeromycotina
Lineage: Eukaryota; Fungi; Glomeromycota
Description: LSU rRNA
Source: RNAcentral
UUGAAAGGGAAACGAUUGAAGUCAGUCGUACUUGCGGGCAAUCAGCCUUUUGGGUGUGAUUAUGUGGAGCGUGAGGAGUUAAUCACCUUCAUCUUUUCAUAUUCGUGCACUUUGGGUGUACUUGCUCGUGUGUAGGUUAACAUCAAUUUUGAUUAUCAUAAAAUGAUUGGAGGAAUGUAGCUUCGAUCUCGUAUUGAAGUGUUAUAGCCUUUGGUAGACGUGAUGAUUGGGAUUGAGGAUUGCAACGGAAUCCUUCGGGCUACCUGUCUGAUCUCUGGAAGUUGCUCUGGUGCUGAAAGCUUGCCUAUGGUAUCAAAGUUGACGUUCAAUAGGUUAGAACGGGAUAAAUUCGUUAAGGAUGUUGACGUA